UUGCUUUGAUUGAGACGUAAAAACAAGUCCUAUAGACCAAAUGCAUAUGGAUUUCUUGCGUGUGUUAAGGAGGACCAUAUGGUCACUGUUUUAAUCAUCAUUUAUUUCCAUAUAAAUACUGCAUUGGCAAAUGGUUGAAAUGCAAAGUUUUUUUUUUCCUUUUUCUUUUUCUUAGGUCUGUAUUAUCCAAAGUUAGUCUCAGGAGCAGUUAUGUGCACAGGGUAGGUUAGGUGCCCGCCUAGCCCAAAUUUUUAUUUUAAAAAACCCUG
Molecule: long non-coding RNA, 269 nt
Filed under: Prunus persica (peach)
Lineage: Eukaryota; Viridiplantae; Streptophyta; Magnoliopsida; Rosales; Rosaceae
Description: long non-coding RNA (PPER_LNC001289)
Source: RNAcentral